CUGAGUUCACUGCUGCUCAGCCUGAGGUGGCCGACGGGUCUGAGGGUGUGCAGGUGCCCUCUAUGCCCAUCCAGCAGUUCCCCACGGAAGACUGGAGUGCACAGCCAGCCACUGAGGACUGGUCAGCAGCUCCCACAGCACAGGCCACUGAGUGGGUUGGAGCCACCACUGAGUGGUCCUGAGCUGCUCUGCAGGUGCCUGAACCAAGGGAAAAAAGGUGGAAGGAAAAUAAAGUUUCUGAAAGCUG
This 247-nucleotide long non-coding RNA is filed under the name Rattus norvegicus (Norway rat). Its description in RNAcentral is "long non-coding RNA NONRATT009392". Lineage: Eukaryota; Metazoa; Chordata; Mammalia; Rodentia; Muridae. The record is from RNAcentral.